UACGACGGGUAACCGGUCUGAGAGGAUGAUCGGUCACAGUGGGACUGAGACACGGCCCGCACCCCUACGGGGGGCAGCAGUGGGGAAUAUUGGGCAAUGGCCGAAAGGCUGACCCAGCAACGCCGCGUGGUGGAUGAAGCCCUUCGGGGUGUAAACACCUUUUCUGGGGGAAGAUAAUGACGGUACCCCAGGAAUAAGGGACGGCUAACUACGUGCCAGCAGCCGCGGUAAUACGUAGGUCCCGAACGUUGCGCGAAAUUACUGGGCGUAAAGGGUCCGUAGGCGGUCUGGUAAGUGGAAGGUGAAAUCCUACGGCUCAACCGUAGAAUUGCCUUCCAAACUGCUGGACUUGAGGCAGGGAGAGGUCGGCGGAAUUCCCGGUGUAGCGGUGAAAUGCGUAGAUAUCGGAAGGAACACCAGUGGCGAAGGCGGCCGACUGGAACUGUCCUGACGCUGAGGGACGAAAGCUAGGGGAGCAAACCGGAUUAGAUACCCGGGUAGUCCUAGCCGUAAACGAUGGAUGCUAGAUGUGGCCUACGAAAGUAGGCUGUGCCGCAAGCAAACGCGUUAAGCAUC
This 576-nucleotide ribosomal RNA is filed under the name uncultured Aquificaceae bacterium. RNAcentral's name for it is "bacterial SSU rRNA". It matches the Rfam family "Bacterial small subunit ribosomal RNA", at positions 275 to 868 of the family's 1533-position model. The record is from RNAcentral. Lineage: Bacteria; Pseudomonadati; Aquificota; Aquificia; Aquificales; Aquificaceae.